CCUACGGGUGGCAGCAGUGGGGAAUAUUGCACAAUGGGGGAAACCCUGAUGCAGCGACGCCGCGUGAGCGAUGAAGUAUUUCGGUAUGUAAAGCUCUAUCAGCAGGGAAGAAAAUGACGGUACCUGACUAAGAAGCCCCGGCUAACUACGUGCCAGCAGCCGCGGUAAUACGUAGGGGGCAAGCGUUAUCCGGAUUUACUGGGUGUAAAGGGAGCGUAGACGGCGGUGCAAGCCAGAUGUGAAAGCCCGGGGCUCAACCCCGGGACUGCAUUUGGAACUGUGCUGCUAGAGUGUCGGAGAGGCAGGCGGAAUUCCUAGUGUAGCGGUGAAAUGCGUAGAUAUUAGGAGGAACACCAGUGGCGAAGGUGGCUUGCUGGACGAUGACUGACGCUGAGGCUCGAAAGCGUGGGGAGCAAACAGGAUUAGAUACCCUUGUAGUC
RNAcentral lists this ribosomal RNA (440 nucleotides) under uncultured bacterium. Its description in RNAcentral is "partial 16S ribosomal RNA". It matches the Rfam family "Bacterial small subunit ribosomal RNA", at positions 338 to 795 of the family's 1533-position model. The record is from RNAcentral.